Molecule: transfer RNA, 82 nt
Filed under: Streptococcus pyogenes
Lineage: Bacteria; Bacillati; Bacillota; Bacilli; Lactobacillales; Streptococcaceae
Also listed under: 9 other names
Description: tRNA-Tyr
Rfam family: tRNA
About the family: Transfer RNA (tRNA) molecules are approximately 80 nucleotides in length. Their secondary structure includes four short double-helical elements and three loops (D, anti-codon, and T loops).
Source: RNAcentral
UCGGGAGUGCUCCAGUGGCAACGAGGGCGGACUGUAAAUCCGCUGUCUGAUGACUUCGUAGGUUCGAGUCCUACCUCCCGAA